ACGGGUGAGUAACACGUGGGUGAUCUGCCCUGCACUUUGGGAUAAGCCUGGGAAACUGGGUCUAAUACCGAAUAUGACCACGCUCUUCAUGGGGUGUGGUGGAAAGCUUUUGCGGUGUGGGAUGGGCCCGCGGCCUAUCAGCUUGUUGGUGGGGUAAUGGCCUACCAAGGCGACGACGGGUAGCCGGCCUGAGAGGGUGGCCGGCCACACUGGGACUGAGAUACGGCCCAGACUCCUACGGGAGGCAGCAGUGGGGAAUAUUGCACAAUGGGCGCAAGCCUGAUGCAGCGACGCCGCGUGAGGGAUGACGGCCUUCGGGUUGUAAACCUCUUUCACCAGGGACGAAGCGCAAGUGACGGUACCUGGAGAAGAAGCACCGGCCAACUACGUGCCAGCAGCCGCGGUAAUACGUAGGGUGCGAGCGUUGUCCGGAAUUACUGGGCGUAAAGAGCUCGUAGGUGGUUUGUCGCGUUGUUCGUGAAAACUCACAGCUUAACUGUGGGCGUGCGGGCGAUACGGGCAGACUAGAGUACUGCAGGGGAGACUGGAAUUCCUGGUGUAGCGGUGGAAUGCGCAGA
Molecule: ribosomal RNA, 578 nt
Filed under: uncultured bacterium
Lineage: Bacteria
Description: bacterial SSU rRNA
Rfam family: Bacterial small subunit ribosomal RNA
Source: RNAcentral